ACCAAGGCGACGAUCUGUACUUGGUCUGAGAGGAUGACCAGGCACACUGGAACUGAGACACGGUCCAGACUCCUACGGGAGGCAGCAGUGGGGAAUUUUCCGCAAUGGGGGCAACCCUGACGGAGCAAUACCGCGUGAGGGAGGACAGCUUUUGGGUUGUAAACCUCUUUUAUCAGGGAAGAAUUGAUGACGGUACCUGAUGAAUCAGCAUCGGCUAACUCCGUGCCAGCAGCCGCGGUAAUACGGAGGAUGCAAGCGUUAUCCGGAAUUAUUGGGCGUAAAGCGUCCGUAGGUGGCUUAAUAAGUCUGUUGUUAAAGCGUGCGGCUCAACCGCAUACGGGCAAUGGAAACUAUGAAGCUAGAGUGCGAUAGGGGUCACAGGAAUUCCCAGUGUAGCGGUGAAAUGCGUAGAUAUUGGGAAGAACACCAGCGGCGAAAGCGUGUGACUGGGUCUGCACUGACACUGAGGGACGAAAGCUAGGGGAGCGAAAGGGAUUAGAUACCCCUGUAGUCCUAGCCGUAAACGAUGACAACUAGGUGUGGUUCGUAUCGACCCGAGCCGUGCCGUAGCCAACGCGUUAAGUUGUCCGCCUGGGGAGUACGCACGCAAGUGUGAAACUCAAAGGAAUUGACGGGGGCCCGCACAAGCGGUGGAGUAUGUGGUUUAAUUCGAUGCAACGCGAAGAACCUUACCAAGGCUUGACAUCCUGCGAACCUUCUUGAAAGGGAAGGGUGCCUUCGGGAGCGCAGAGACAGGUGGUGCAUGGCUGUCGUCAGCUCGUGUCGUGAGAUGUUGGGUUAAGUCCCGCAACGAGCGCAACCCACGUUUUUAGUUGCCAGCAUUCAGUUGGGCACUCUAGAGAGACUGCCGGUGACAAACCGGAGGAAGGUGUGGAUGACGUCAAGUCAGCAUGCCCCUUACGC
Molecule: ribosomal RNA, 924 nt
Filed under: Oscillatoriaceae cyanobacterium CCMEE 315
Lineage: Bacteria; Bacillati; Cyanobacteriota; Cyanophyceae; Oscillatoriales; Oscillatoriaceae
Description: bacterial SSU rRNA
Rfam family: Bacterial small subunit ribosomal RNA
Source: RNAcentral